This 463-nucleotide ribosomal RNA is filed under the name uncultured bacterium. Its description in RNAcentral is "partial 16S ribosomal RNA". It matches the Rfam family "Bacterial small subunit ribosomal RNA", at positions 28 to 507 of the family's 1533-position model. The record is from RNAcentral.
GACGAACGCUGGCGGCGUGCUUAACACAUGCAAGUCGAACGGUGAACCUCUUCGGAGGGGAUCAGUGGCGAACGGGUGAGUAACACGUGGGCAACCUGCCCCCGGCUCUGGGAUAACUCCAAGAAAUUGGGGCUAAUACCGGAUGUUCACCGCUUCCCGCAUGGGUGGUGGUGGAAAGGGUUUCCGGCUGGGGAUGGGCCCGCGGCCUAUCAGCUUGUUGGUGGGGUAGUGGCCUACCAAGGCGACGACGGGUAGCCGGCCUGAGAGGGUGACCGGCCACACUGGGACUGAGACACGGCCCAGACUCCUACGGGAGGCAGCAGUGGGGAAUAGUGCGCAAUGGGCGGAAGCCUGACGCAGCGACGCCGCGUGGGGGAUGACGGCCUUCGGGUUGUAAACCGCUUUCGGCAGGGACGAAGCGCAAGUGACGGUACCUGCAGAAGAAGCACCGGCCAACUACGUG